RNAcentral lists this long non-coding RNA (1784 nucleotides) under Olea europaea subsp. europaea. The record is from RNAcentral. Lineage: Eukaryota; Viridiplantae; Streptophyta; Magnoliopsida; Lamiales; Oleaceae.
CGUUAAAUGAGUUUAUGAAUUUGUCUGUAUAUACUCAUCAUGUUGUCCAUGAAUUUGCGUGCAUUCAUUACGUGAGAGCAUAGCCAGGAGUUAUUUAUAUGUGCGAUCUGCUAGAAGUACAGAAUUGUUCUUUCAUAGAACCUUCACAGAAUGACGUGUCUUUGCCUUGAAGAACGAAUUUUCCCCAAUAACGAAAGGAAACAACAACAAAGGAAACAAAAAUUCUCUCACCAUUUGGAACCCUAAAAAUCGCCUGCAACUUUGCCCGACCGAAAUCCAGCUCCGGCCGACCGACCGACGAGUCGCCUCUGUGAAGAACACCUCCGGCAGCCCGAUCGACGAAUCGCCACAGCAACAACCACAUCCGACAGCCUGUCUUGCUUCCCUAUUUUAUGGAAUCGAGACGUCAUAACCAUCUCUUCCCCAUUUUUAGUCUGUGGAAUAGUGUCCACCCAGUAUCUGAUAUCUUUUACCAUCAGGUAAGCCAAAAUUCAUUUCGUAUUUUAGUUGUUUCCAGAAGCUGGUGUUGUUUGGUAAUUUAGGGAAUAUAGUGGUGUGAAUGGAAGAUUAUGAUUAUGAACGUUGGGCAAAAAUUCAAUUUGCGAAAUUCGAUUUCUGGAAACUUUAGAAUUUGUGCAGCAUUCGGCUAUGUCUUACUCUGUGAUCCAUUUCGCUGGAGCAACAUUUGUGGAAUAUGGUUGCACUAGUUGGGAUGGUUAUGUAUUCAUAUUAUUGUGUUCUUGAGAAUUAGAGAAAUGUGUAAGAAAAAUUGAUUCUGCCAUGCCUAGAAUUGUUGUUUUUUGAUUUAAAGAAAGAAAUCAUAACAUGAAAAUAGUGAUGUUAUUUCCAAAAUCAAAGAAAUCUUCUUUCUGUUAUGUUAAGCAAUAUACCUAAAUCGUAUGAACUUUAUCCGUUAUUUAACAUUGUUGAUCAAUCAAACCAAAUUAUCUUUCAGUUUCCUAUAAACUGGGAAUUCUGUGGACCUUUUAAUUUGUAUUAGAGUAAGGGGUUGAAGCUUUUCUGUAAAGGAGAAUUCCAGUUUUUGUAGUAGCAUUAUAUAAUUUAUGUAUUUUUCUAAGUGGGGUUGGUGGUUAUUUUGAUAAUUUGACAAGUUGAAAGAACAAAGGGACCUCUGAAUUUUGUAGUAUUUCUUACGCUGCCGAACUCAUUGUUUUUUUCUUCCAGGAUGAUUUGGUGUCUAUCACAGUUGUAGAAGUAUGGACCACUUCUUCCUGAAUUACCCGAUAAAACGACGAUGCCCAUAGUGUAUGCACGGAUUGCAAAUAUAUUUUGAAGUUGAAAUUGAGACAAAGAACAAAGGGCGAUUAUUCAAAAUAUGUAGUGGUAACUAUGGGUAUUUUGAUUGGGUCAUAAAUGAAGAAUCAAGCGGUGAUUCUAGCAUGACUAAUGAAGCAGUGAAUCCCGAAGCCAUCGAGGAAGCAUAAGAUUUGCCGACCAAGUUUGACAGUCUAGUUAGAAUAGUUGAAAAAAAAGACACUGAAAUUUCAUUAAACGUGACAUUCCGUAAGUGAAAGGAAAGUGCCGAGGUGAAUGGGAAUGGAAAAGGGAAGGGCCACACCCCAUAGGUAGUAGGCAAAAUUGAUAUUUUCCAUCUAUGUUUUUGCUUGGCGUUUGCUAUCGAAAAACGUAUGUAAAAUAUGGUUUUGUAAUUAAAUGUUUGACUUAAUGUUUGGUAGAAAUAGUUCUUGUUGCCAUAUCAAUAUGUAUGAACCGAGGACACGACUAGUUGCAACUCUUUGAGACAUGAAACGUUUAUAAAAAAG